RNAcentral lists this non-coding RNA (89 nucleotides) under Symbiodinium sp. CCMP2430. The record is from RNAcentral. Lineage: Eukaryota; Dinophyceae; Suessiales; Symbiodiniaceae.
AUUUGUAAUGUAAUUUAAUAAGAACAAAGCAUAGAAUAACCAUGCCUGGCGGUGGAGUUGGAGAAGGAGCACCAAGAAGAACCACAUUU